UAUGUAUUGUGCCAGCCGCCGCGGUAAUACGUAUGGUGCAAGCGUUAUCCGGAUUUACUGGGUGUAAAGGGUGCGUAGGUGGUAUGGCAAGUCAGAAGUGAAAGGCUGGGGCUCAACCCCGGGACUGCUUUUGAAACUGUCAAACUAGAGUACAGGAGAGGAAAGCGGAAUUCCUAGUGUAGCGGUGAAAUGCGUAGAUAUUAGGAGGAACACCAGUGGCGAAGGCGGCUUUCUGGACUGAAACUGACACUGAGGCACGAAAGCGUGGGGAGCAAACAGG
Molecule: ribosomal RNA, 280 nt
Filed under: Eubacterium ruminantium
Lineage: Bacteria; Bacillati; Bacillota; Clostridia; Eubacteriales; Eubacteriaceae
Description: partial 16S ribosomal RNA
Rfam family: Bacterial small subunit ribosomal RNA
Source: RNAcentral